UUUUAAUACAACUUUCAGCAACGGAUCUCUUGGCUCUCGCAUCGAUGAAGAACGCAGCGAAAUGCGAUAAGUAAUGUGAAUUGCAGAAUUCAGUGAAUCAUCGAAUCUUUGAACGCACCUUGCGCUCCUUGGUAUUCCGAGGAGCAUGCCUGUUUGAGUGUCAUG
This 165-nucleotide ribosomal RNA is filed under the name Trametes gibbosa. Its description in RNAcentral is "5.8S ribosomal RNA". It matches the Rfam family "5.8S ribosomal RNA". From Rfam's summary of the family: 5.8S ribosomal RNA (5.8S rRNA) is a component of the large subunit of the eukaryotic ribosome. The record is from RNAcentral. Lineage: Eukaryota; Fungi; Basidiomycota; Agaricomycetes; Polyporales; Polyporaceae.